RNAcentral lists this ribosomal RNA (469 nucleotides) under Pseudomonas aeruginosa. Its description in RNAcentral is "partial 23S ribosomal RNA". It matches the Rfam family "Bacterial large subunit ribosomal RNA", at positions 2476 to 2925 of the family's 2925-position model. The record is from RNAcentral. Lineage: Bacteria; Pseudomonadati; Pseudomonadota; Gammaproteobacteria; Pseudomonadales; Pseudomonadaceae.
AACAGGCUGAUACCGCCCAAGAGUUCAUAUCGACGGCGGUGUUUGGCACCUCGAUGUCGGCUCAUCACAUCCUGGGGCUGAAGCCGGUCCCAAGGGUAUGGCUGUUCGCCAUUUAAAGUGGUACGCGAGCUGGGUUUAGAACGUCGUGAGACAGUUCGGUCCCUAUCUGCCGUGGACGUUUGAGAUUUGAGAGGGGCUGCUCCUAGUACGAGAGGACCGGAGUGGACGAACCUCUGGUGUUCCGGUUGUCACGCCAGUGGCAUUGCCGGGUAGCUAUGUUCGGAAAAGAUAACCGCUGAAAGCAUCUAAGCGGGAAACUUGCCUCAAGAUGAGAUCUCACUGGGAACUUGAUUCCCCUGAAGGGCCGUCGAAGACUACGACGUUGAUAGGCUGGGUGUGUAAGCGUUGUGAGGCGUUGAGCUAACCAGUACUAAUUGCCCGUGAGGCUUGACCAUAUAACACCCAAACA